Molecule: long non-coding RNA, 871 nt
Organism: Hibiscus syriacus
Lineage: Eukaryota; Viridiplantae; Streptophyta; Magnoliopsida; Malvales; Malvaceae
Exons: 3
Source: RefSeq, a predicted model, not a curated record
AUGUCAGCCGGGAGGAUGAGAUCGAUAAAACUCAACUCGACCAUAGAUGAGAUGCAAGAGUGGUCCAGCAGUUAAAAACUAAGCUAUGUAAAAGAAAAUCAUCGUGCGAUCUACAAGCUUCAAACUCUGCAAAUGAAGUUUCAGGCUCAAAGAGGUUUAGUGGCAAGAAUUCGCAGUUACUGCUCAAGAAGUCAAGUACUGGGAACUUAGACCACAAUGAUCAAAGACUGUAGUCUCUCCCGGUAAUUGAUGACCGCGAUUGUGCUAGUGUUCUCACUGAAGAGCCUGAACCGGAGUUAGAGGGAAUGGAAAUGGAUCAACUAGAGGCUGAGCUCGUGUUAGAACUGCAAAAAUUGAGUGAGACCGGGGCUUCAGCCAAAAGUCGGCACGAUCUGAUGGAGGAGGGCUUUCAUUAUACCAUGCCAGGGAGUAUUGCCAUCCGAACUAGAUCAGAAACUAUGCCAUCUGUUAAUCGAACAGCAGGAAAAACCAAAUCGGGGAGCUAGAAUCCGAAUUGGAUUCUGUUCAACCAAAACUCCGCACGAAGGAAGCCGAACUCCAAGCACUAAAGGUUUGUGUUAGACGCCUGACUAACUUCUCCCUGUCGACCGUCUACGAUGAUGACACCAAGGCCCAAGGGGAUCAAGAAUGUAUGAAGGACAGGAUUGCCCUACAAAAACCGGAUCUGAGACGACGAAAUCAUCGGUCGCAUGAAAAGACAUGGAGUUUUAGUCCCCACUGAUAUUGCAUAACUCACAGUGUAGGUCACACCAUUGUGAAAAUCAAGCGUGUGAACCCUUCAAGUGGUUCAAAAAUUGACUUAGGUCUAGUUCUUUUCUCGAGUGCCUUAGAGAAACCCUGUAAUCAUAGU